GGGUUGUGAGGUUAAGCGACUAAGCGUACACGGUGGAUGCCCUGGCAGUCAGAGGCGAUGAAGGACGUGCUAAUCUGCGAUAAGCGCCGGUAAGGUGAUAUGAACCGUUAUAACCGACGAUUUCCGAAUGGGGAAACCCAGUGUGACUCGUCACACUAUCAUUAACUGAAUCCAUAGGUUAAUGAGGCGAACCGGGGGAACUGAAACAUCUAAGUACCCCGAGGAAAAGAAAUCAACCGAGAUUCCCCCAGUAGCGGCGAGCGAACGGGGAGGAGCCCAGAGCCUGAAUCAGCAUGUGUGUUAGUGGAAGCGUCUGGAAAGGCGCGCGAUACAGGGUGACAGCCCCGUACACAAAAGCGCAUGUGCUGUGAGCUCGAUGAGUAGGGCGGGACACGUGGUAUCCUGUCUGAAUAUGGGGGGACCAUCCUCCAAGGCUAAAUACUCCUGACUGACCGAUAGUGAACCAGUACCGUGAGGGAAAGGCGAAAAGAACCCCGGCGAGGGGAGUGAAAAAGAACCUGAAACCGUGUACGUACAAGCAGUGGGAGCACCUUCGGGUGUGACUGCGUACCUUUUGUAUAAUGGGUCAGCGACUUAUAUUCUGUAGCAAGGUUAACCGAAUAGGGGAGCCGUAGGGAAACCGAGUCUUAACCGGGCGUUAAGUUGCAGGGUAUAGACCCGAAACCCGGUGAUCUAGCCAUGGGCAGGUUGAAGGUUGGGUAACACUAACUGGAGGACCGAACCGACUAAUGUUGAAAAAUUAGCGGAUGACCUGUGGCUGGGGGUGAAAGGCCAAUCAAACCGGGAGAUAGCUGGUUCUCCCCGAAAGCUAUUUAGGUAGCGCCUCGUGAAUUCAUCUCCGGGGGUAGAGCACUGUUUCGGCUAGGGGGCCAUCCCGGCUUACCAACCCGAUGCAAACUGCGAAUACCGGAGAAUGUUAUCACGGGAGACACACGGCGGGUGCUAACGUCCGUCGUGAAGAGGGAAACAACCCAGACCGCCAGCUAAGGUCCCAAAGUCAUGGUUAAGUGGGAAACGAUGUGGGAAGGCUCAGACAGC
Molecule: ribosomal RNA, 1059 nt
Filed under: Salmonella enterica
Lineage: Bacteria; Pseudomonadati; Pseudomonadota; Gammaproteobacteria; Enterobacterales; Enterobacteriaceae
Description: partial 23S ribosomal RNA
Rfam family: Bacterial large subunit ribosomal RNA
Source: RNAcentral